AGUGAACGCUGGCGGUGGGCCUAACACAUGCAAGUCGAACGGCAGCACAGUAAGAGCUUGCUCUUACGGGUGGCGAGUGGCGGACGGGUGAGGAAUAUAUCGGAAUCUUCUUUUUCGUGGGGGUUAACGUAGGGGAAGUUACGCUAGUACCGCAUACGACCUACGGUUGAAAGCAGGGGAUCUUCGGACCUUGCGCGGUUGAAUGAGCCGAUGUCGGAUUAGUUAGUUGGCGGGGUAAAGGCCCAGCAAGGCGACGAUCCGUAGCUGGUGUGAGUGGAUGGUCGGCCACACUGGAACGGAGACACGGUCCAUGCUCCUACGGGAGGCAGCAGUGUGGAAUAUUGGACAAUGGGCGCGAGCCUGAUCCAGCCAGACCGCGUGGGUGAAGAAGACCUUCGGGUUGUAAAGCCCUUUUGUUGGGAAAGAAAAGCAGCAGGUUAAGACCCCGCUGUUCUGACGGUACCCAAAGAAUAAGCACCGGCUAACUUCGUG
RNAcentral lists this ribosomal RNA (492 nucleotides) under uncultured bacterium. RNAcentral's name for it is "partial 16S ribosomal RNA". It matches the Rfam family "Bacterial small subunit ribosomal RNA", at positions 29 to 507 of the family's 1533-position model. The record is from RNAcentral.